GAACCUAUUCUUAAAAAAUCCAAUGAUAUGGAUUUUGCAGUCUUUCCAGGCAAUCUGUUCCGAUGCUUUGCUCUCAUCAAGUUAGAAAGUUUUUCUAAUGCCCAGUCUAAAGUUUCCACAUUCCAUUAUUUCUUGUUCUAAUCCCUGUGGACAUGGAGAACAAUUGAUUCCGAUUCCUCAGCAGGGUACUGUUCAAGUCUGUUAUGACAUUUCCUCUGAAGUGUUUCACUCUCCAAACUGAACAACUCUGGUUUUGUUCAAUCUUUACCUGCACAUCAUUUUUUCCCAGUCCCCUAAUCCACCUUGUUUCUUUCUCUGGACUUCUUCUAGGAGUUCACAUUUCUUUUAAAGCAGGGUCCCUAGAGGUGCAUACAGAACAUUAGCUGCUUACUGAUUCUGGAGUAAGUACAAAUCUCACACAUGAUACUGCCCAGAUAACCUCUGCAAUAGUUUUUGCAGGGAGGUGAGACUGUUUAUUUCUGUUCAGCUUGUGAUCCCCCACAGGCCACAAACUGUUUCCUACAGACUCAUUUUCCACCUUAUAUUUGUACAGUUGAUUACUCUGCCUAACUGUAGCACUUUCACUUGUCCUUACAGAAUUGCAUCCUAUUGAUUUCAAACCACUUCUUCAAAUCACCAACUUCAUUUUUAAUGGUGAAAAAUGAGGUCUGCUACCUCAGAGCCUCUCUGUGUUCAGUAUGGUAACACAGGAAAGGAUCACAGAUUUUCCUCUGCUUGUAUUCUUAUGGAGUGGCAAGGCACAAUGGCCACAACUGUGCUGACAUGAGUCUAUGCUUUGGGAUAAGAAGUAAAAAUCCUUUGUUACAGUAGAACCUAAAGGGCAGGCCCUGCACAAAAGAAAUGUGUCCUGUAGACUGGAAGAGGAUGAUGACACAACUUUAUUUUUUACCUGCUCCAAGGACACGGCCUCCAGGAGCACUGGCUGUGGUGCUCUUCCAUGCUGAGUUCAAAGCAUACGCCUUCUGUGCACCUUGAAAACUCUCCACUUCAGAAAAUUGCAGUCUAUUUUCAGUUGCUGCCUGGUUCACUAUGAAUUAAAAUGGGGUGUUCAGAAAGGUGAAAUCAGAACCAUUUAUAAUGCAUGUUCUUUCCUUGUUUUUUCAUUUCUUCUUUCUCCCCUCUCUCUUCCCUGACAUAAUUGGAGCACAUUAGCUUCACUGUCUCAGUUCAUUAGGUCAUUUCUGAAAAUCGAAAAUCACAGUUUUGUGUUUAUUGGUGUCUUUUAUUUGUAGGAAAUCAUUUGCAGUGAAACUACUUCUAAAUUUCCUACUGUGUAGAAGACUCCAGAGCUGUUUGCUUAUACCUCAUCAGCAGAACUGCUGGAAAUAAUGCUCUGAGUUGGGGAAUGAUGUUGUCCAAGGACUCUAGCUUUGAUAAUUAAAAAUGCCAGUCCCUCAUGAUGCUGAAAGCCCUCAGUUCUUGUGGACUGCUGAGGGUCCUCAGUGCUUUGCAACCUCACAACCUAAUUCUGAAGUGAUGGAGUAAGCUUUUCAGGACAUGCAUAGGGCAAGUUUAUCUCUGCUGCAGUAUCAAAAGCCAGUGCAAGAACAGAUCAAUGGCAUCUAUGGGAUAUCCAAGGGUAGUUUCUUUUAACUAUAUUUAACUGAUGAUGUCUCUUUAGCCUAUGAUAUUUAUAACAGCUAAGGUCUGGUCUUUUUCUAUUUACAACUGACAGAAAUUGAAAAGAUUCAAAAUCUGAAAAUUUAAAAAGAUGACCUGUAAGGAAAACAACUUUCAGUUUAAAUAAGAGAUUUUUUUAUUGAAUCUUUACAUGGCCUUUACAAAGGAAGGAAAAAUUCGGGAUUAUCUCUACAGGAGAGAAACAGUCCAGUGGUUUAUAUUUUAGAAGAUUACUGAUAUGUGAGAAAUCUCUUCCUUUUGCCUUUCACAGUCUUUUUGUCUCAGCGUCACUUUACCCUUUUCUUUCUUUUUCAUUUCCCUUCAUCCUUUUUCCUGUCAAUAAUAUCCCUUCCCUCAUUUUUCCAAAUUUCAAUUUAAAAUGUCAGCCUAACCUAUGGCAAUAGUAAGCCAAUUAUUUCUAUCUUCAAUGGUGCCCUUGAGUCUGGAAGAACUUUCCUUACCCAUUUUUCCUGCUUGUUUAAAGAUAUUCCCUAACAGUCACUGUAAAUACAUGUGAGAGGAGGCAAGAUGCUAUCUGGCAAGCCUUUAGCUAGGGCUUGCAACUGGAAAAAUUACUCUGAAGUUUCAAUGUGCGGAACACUUUUGCAGAAUAUUUGCUUUACAUUCUAAAGUCAGCUCUUGGCUUACUUCUAAGACUGACUAUGGCCUGAGUGGAAACUGUGUUUGAUUGUGGAAUAUGACUUUGAAAGUAAACACUUUCAUUAGGACUUCUGUAACAGCCUUGGAAAUCUUUUAAUCCAAAGUUUUGUUCCUGGAACGAUUAGCUGCCUGUGCUCUAGCCUGAGGGAAACUGCCACAAGGGAAAAUAAUAUGAAAAAUGGAUGUAAAUGGAGAACUGUGCCACUACCACUUAAAAUUCAGUUCCUUGUGUGUGAUGUUUUCAGAGAAUGAAAAAUCAUUUCUAUAUGCAAAAAAAAAAAAAAAAAAAAAA
Molecule: non-coding RNA, 2593 nt
Organism: Zonotrichia albicollis (white-throated sparrow)
Lineage: Eukaryota; Metazoa; Chordata; Aves; Passeriformes; Passerellidae
Source: RefSeq, a predicted model, not a curated record